Molecule: unclassified non-coding RNA, 240 nt
Filed under: soil metagenome
Description: partial contains 5.8S ribosomal RNA, internal transcribed spacer 2, and large subunit ribosomal RNA
Source: RNAcentral
AACCAUAGAAACCUGCGGAGUACCUGCGGAAGGAUCAUUAACGAAUAACUAUGGUGUUGGUUGUAGCUGGCUCCUCGGAGCAAUGUGCACGCCCGCCAUUUUUAUCUUUCCACCUGUGCACCGACUGUAGGUCUGGAUACCUCUCGCCUCCGGGCGGAUGCGAGGGUUGCUCGUAAGGGCUUCCCUUGAACUUCCAGGCUCUACGUCUUUUUACACACCCCAAUAGUAUGAUGCAGAAUG